Molecule: ribosomal RNA, 803 nt
Filed under: uncultured bacterium
Lineage: Bacteria
Description: bacterial SSU rRNA
Rfam family: Bacterial small subunit ribosomal RNA
Source: RNAcentral
AGAGUUUGAUCCUGGCUCAGGACGAACGCUGGCGGCGUGCUUAACACAUGCAAGUCAGGGAGAAAGGAGUAGCAAUACUCUGAGUAAACCGGCGAACGGGUGAGUAAUACGUAGGCAACUUACCUUGUGAACGGGGAUAACCCCGCGAAAGCGGGGCUAAUACCCGAUGAAGUUCAGUUACAGCAUUGUAGCGGAAUGAAAGAUCCCAAAAGGAUGUCACAAGAUGAGCCCGCGUACCAUUAGCUUGUUGGUGGGGUAAUGGCCUACCAAGGCGACGAUGGUUAGCUGGUCUGAGAGGAUGAUCAGCCACACUGGAACUGGAACACGGUCCAGACUCCUACGGGAGGCAGCAGUGAGGAAUUUUGCGCAAUGGGGGAAACCCUGACGCAGCAACGCCGCGUGAGUGAUGAAGGCUUUCGGGUCGUAAAGCUCUGUCAAGUGGGAAGAAGUUGUGCAUGGCUAAUAUCUGUGCACAUUGACGGUACCACUGAAGGAAGCACCGGCUAACUCCGUGCCAGCAGCCGCGGUAAUACGGAGGGUGCAAGCGUUAUUCGGAUUUACUGGGCGUAAAGGGCGCGUAGGCGGCUUGAUAAGUCAGUCGUGAAAGCCCGGGGCUCAACCCCGGAAGUGCGAUUGAAACUAUCAGGCUUGAGUAUGGUAGAGGGAAGUGGAAUUCCAGGUGUAGCGGUGAAAUGCGUAGAUAUCUGGAGGAACACCGGUGGCGAAGGCGACUUCCUGGACCAAUACUGACGCUGAUGCGCGAAGGUGUGGGUAGCAAACAGGAUUAGAUACCCUGGUAGUCC